CCUACGGGAGGCAGCAGUGAGGAAUAUUGGUCAAUGGGUGAGAGCCUGAACCAGCCAAGUCGCGUGAGGGAGUACUGCCCUAUGGGUUGUAAACCUCUUUUGUCGGGGAGCAAAAGCCGGACGUGUCCGGCUGUGAGAGUACCCGAAGAAAAAGCAUCGGCUAACUCCGUGCCAGCAGCCGCGGUAAUACGGAGGAUGCGAGCGUUAUCCGGAUUUAUUGGGUUUAAAGGGUGCGCAGGCGGAUUUUUAAGUCAGCGGUAAAAUCGUGGGGCUCAACCCCAUCCAGCCGUUGAAACUGGGGAUCUAGAGUGUGCGAGAGGUAUGCGGAAUGCGUGGUGUAGCGGUGAAAUGCAUAGAUAUCACGCAGAACCCCGAUUGCGAAGGCAGCAUACCGGUGCACAACUGACGCUCAGGCACGAAAGCGUGGGUAUCGAACAGGAUUAGAUACCCUGGUAGUC
This 458-nucleotide ribosomal RNA is filed under the name uncultured bacterium. RNAcentral describes it as "partial 16S ribosomal RNA". It matches the Rfam family "Bacterial small subunit ribosomal RNA", at positions 338 to 795 of the family's 1533-position model. The record is from RNAcentral.